This is a non-coding RNA of Sus scrofa (pig), 994 nucleotides long. The record is from RefSeq and is a predicted model, not a curated record. Lineage: Eukaryota; Metazoa; Chordata; Mammalia; Artiodactyla; Suidae.
CCUGGACGUCAACAGGCUGAAAACGUGCAAGAGGACCGGAGUGGGCCCAGCCUUGUGAGACUCACAAGGAGAAGAUGCUGCAGUCACGUCAUGAAUUCCGACUGCCUGCGCCUGGCGGAUGGUGUUUACCUCGCCCUGCUUCGAAUUCACCAUGUGGAGGAAAAGCGUUAGUUGAGGAAAAGCCUGGCUCCGGCAGCAUCUCUCCGACAGCUGCAUGUGCAGCUGAACCUGCCCAACCAGCAGAGUGAGCCUAUCCUCCACAGCCCAGUGGUGCUGACCCAGGGCCCCAAGACCAAGGAGAGGCACCUCCUCCUCUUCAGGGACUGGCUAGUCAUUGCUAAAGAGAGGACUUCCAAGAGCUACACGUUCAAACAGAAGCUGCCUCUCUCUGACUUAAAGGUGGUCUCCUGUGACAAGGACGAGGACGGUGAUUUCAUCAUCAGUCAAGGAAGCGCUGUCUUGUGCAUGAUGGCCUCUAACCCUUGUGUCUCCGGGUUUCCGUGAGUGCCACCACAUUCACUUGCAGGUUUAUAGCACAGUAUCCUCAGGAAGGCCCCAGCCCUUCAUUAACUCACUGCUCUUGCCACAAACAGAACGUGACAAUGUCUCUUGCAGAAUCAACAAGGGAGGUUCUGCAGUAUUAGCAGAGAGCGACCUCAGAGUCUCCUGUUGCUUUUUCCUGCAUUUCAUCCAAAUUAGUUGCUUUUAAAGAAUAAGAAUGUUGUGACUAAAGAUAAGAGGAAGAGAAACAGCUGAUUUUGGUAAGUCACUACCAAUGCUAGGACUCUGACUACCUAGUUGUUUUAUUUCCCUCUAAGGGGCUUAUUACACAAAUACUAGUAUUUCUUUUCCUUCGGCACGUUUGUGAGCCUGUAACCCAUGAGUAAGUGUGUCACGUAGGAGGUUUAGCACAGAAACCGUCACAGUCAUCGUCCUGAUCUCUCAGGAGAAGAUCCGGAGCAGCCUGGGGCUUCUGCCAACAAGAGGGGGAUGG